AUGGAGGAACCCCCGUCGGCGCCACCACAACCCCCACCGCCACUCCCCCACCCUCCUUCGGUGCCGCAUCAUGGUGGAAUCGUCGCUGGCGCUUCCCCAGGUCUCUCGCCCACCGCAUCUCUGAUGCUAUCUAGGUGGCGCUUCAUGGCGGAACCGCCGCCAGCGCUUCCCCAGCCCUUGUCGCGCGGCCCCAUCGCCGCCGCGCCUGUACCACCGCGUCUCACCACGUCUUCGAUGGCCAACACAUGGGGCCCAGCAGCACCAACCUCUCCGAGUGGCCAUGUCGCCCAGAACCCUAGCAUUGGGGAUUCCAGCGAGGUGGAGAGUGGGGCAGUGGCGCCGACGGCCGAGGCCCUCCCCAAGAUCAACUCCUUUGUGGGCGCACUUGCAGCAGCCCAUCUGCCCCAGAAUUCCAUGCCCGACGAGGAGGACGGCAUAGCUGAUGAAUGUGGCUCGACCUCUCUCUCUGCUAUUUGCGCUAGGAUGAUCCAGUCUUGUAGCUAUACAGUAGAGGUGAAGAAUAGGAGUGGCCAUUUGAUCAUCAAAUAUUCCGAGAGAAAUGAUAAUGUUGAUGUUCCAUGUACUCCUUCGAACCAAACACCAUCUAUAGCACUGCCUAGUCAACCAAGUAGUGUCAUUGAUGAAGCUAGUGUAUGCCUAACAGAUACAUAUCUUGACAAUCCGCAUGAAGAAUAUGAACAUGUUGGUGUAGAUGAGGAGGACCAGUACUCAAUUGGCAGUGUUGGUUCCGAUAGUGAUGAUGAGGUCAAAGAAAAAGAUAUACCAAAUAAUGAUUAUGUUGAGGAUAGCAGUGAUGAUGAGGAAUGGGUUGCAGAAGAUGCUAGACCGGAUGCUAUUCCAGAAAAUGCUUAUGACAAAGAAAACCCGCCAAUGCAUGUUGGCGCAAAGUACCCUAACAUUGAAGAGUUUAGGUUGGCAAUUGCUACAUAUGCUGUAAAGAAAGAGUUCGAAUUCAAGGUUGAAAAAAGUGAACCUACUCGAUUCAGGGCUUAUUGUCGCCGGGCAAAGAAGACGGAUUGUAAAUGGAGAAUUCAUGUUGGGAGGUUGGAUGACCAAGAAACUAUGGAGGUCAAAGUUCAUGUGCAGGAGCACACUUGUUCUAGCGCAAAGAAGAAAAAGAAGCAGAAAAAUGCUUCAAAGGCAUGGGUGUGUGAGAAAGUCAUGGACUGGGUAAAAGAAGAUCCUAGUGUUCGGCCGAUGGAGUUACGGAGGAGGCUACAUGACAAGUACAAGAUCAACGUCCAAUACAUGAAAGUAUUCCGUGGCAAAGGGCUAGCAAUGGCUAAGUUGUUUGGUAACUGGGAUGAUUCUUUUGACAAGCAAUAUGCUUGGAAAGCUGAGGUUGAGAAGAGGUCUCCUGGAAGCAUAGUUGCGAUUGACCACAUGGAGUAUGAUCAGAAAAAAUAUUUCAUACGGAUGUUUGUUGGGCUGAAGCCUUUGUGCGAUGGAUUCUUGGCUGGCUGCAGACCUUACUUGGCAAUAGAUAGCACUCAUUUGACAGGCAAGUACAGAGGCCAAUUAGCUACUGCUUGUGCCGUUGAUGGGCACAAUUGGUUGUAUCCUGUAGUCUAUGGAGUUAUUGACUCAGAAACUACUGAAAGUUGGGUGUGGUUUUUGGAGAAGCUUCGUGAUGCUAUUGGCUCUCCCCCUGGUCUAGCUAUAUGUUCAGAUGCGGGAAAAGGGAUUGACACUGCAAUCGAACAGGUCUUUGGGUAUGCAGAACAUAGAGAAUGCAUGCGACAUUUGGUUGUGAACUUCAAGAAAAAGUUUCAUGGUAAAGUUUUUGAUGAUCAUUUGUGGCCGGCUGCUUAUUCAUGGACUCCUCGAGGGUUUGACUAUCACAUGGCAGCCGUAGAGGAGAAAAAGGCUACUGCAAUAGCAUAUUUAAACAAGUACCACAGCAGGCUAUGGUCAAGGAGCAAAUAUUCAACCUCCUCAAAAGUGGAUUAUGUGACAAAUAAUUUGGCCGAGUGUUUCAACAACUAG
RNAcentral lists this ribosomal RNA (2007 nucleotides) under Triticum aestivum (bread wheat). RNAcentral describes it as "partial small subunit ribosomal RNA". The record is from RNAcentral. Lineage: Eukaryota; Viridiplantae; Streptophyta; Magnoliopsida; Poales; Poaceae.